GACGAACGCUGGCGGCGUGCUUAACACAUGCAAGUCGAACGGAAAGGCCCUGCUUUUGUGGGGUGCUCGAGUGGCGAACGGGUGAGUAACACGUGAGUAACCUGCCCUUGACUUUGGGAUAACUUCAGGAAACUGGGGCUAAUACCGGAUAGGAGCUCCUGCUGCAUGGUGGGGGUUGGAAAGUUUCGGCGGUUGGGGAUGGACUCGCGGCUUAUCAGCUUGUUGGUGGGGUAGUGGCUUACCAAGGCUUUGACGGGUAGCCGGCCUGAGAGGGUGACCGGCCACAUUAGGACUGAGAUACGGCCCAGACUCCUACGGGAGGCAGCAGUGGGGAAUAUUGCACAAUGGGCGGAAGCCUGAUGCAGCAACGCCGCGUGCGGGAUGACGGCCUUCGGGUUGUAAACCGCCUUCGCCUGUGACGAAGCGUGAGUGACGGUAAUGGGUAAAGAAGCACCGGCUAACUACGUG
RNAcentral lists this ribosomal RNA (468 nucleotides) under uncultured bacterium. Its description in RNAcentral is "partial 16S ribosomal RNA". It matches the Rfam family "Bacterial small subunit ribosomal RNA", at positions 28 to 507 of the family's 1533-position model. The record is from RNAcentral.